Long non-coding RNA from Photinus pyralis (common eastern firefly), 533 nucleotides. RefSeq lists it as uncharacterized. The transcript is spliced from 3 exons. NCBI's taxonomy places the organism in Eukaryota, Metazoa, Arthropoda, Insecta, Coleoptera, Lampyridae. The record is from RefSeq and is a predicted model, not a curated record.
UUCCUCCUGAAUACACAUGGAAUUCCUUGGAAUUCUUAGCUUUCCUAGGAGUUCCUCCGGAAUUCCUAUGAUUUCCCAUAGAUUUCCUCAAACGUGUACACUGAUUUCCCAUCGCGGUUUAGCCCUCGGGAUCGGUUAUUGGGUCUAAAGCAUUAGAGAGUACCUAAUCCACAAUUUCCAAACCAAAGAGACACGACUGGAUACAGACUUCUAUCAAAGUAUAACAAAUAUGGAAAGGUCUACAAGGGUCUCUAAAAACCAAAUGAAUGAAGACCAAUCCGAAUCAGAAGGAUACAAAAAAAUAACCAACUGUGCGUGGAUAUUUCUCUUUGUACUCGUACCGAUAUUAAUCUACUUCAUACGAGUAUACCGGCAAUUAAGAGUAAGAAACUCCAAAAAAGCCGAAGAACUCCAGCGAUUGUCUGAAGAUCCACCCGUCUGGCUUGUCUAAAAUAACUUGUUUGAAGCUUUCGUUUUUCCAGUUUGGGUUUUCAAUGUUUGAAUUCAAACAUUGAAAACCCAAACUGGAAAAA